This 484-nucleotide ribosomal RNA is filed under the name uncultured bacterium. RNAcentral describes it as "partial 16S ribosomal RNA". It matches the Rfam family "Bacterial small subunit ribosomal RNA", at positions 30 to 507 of the family's 1533-position model. The record is from RNAcentral.
AUUGAACGCUGGCGGCAGGCCUAACACAUGCAAGUCGAGCGGAUGAAGGGAGCUUGCUCCUGAAUUCAGCGGCGGACGGGUGAGUAAUGCCUAGGAAUCUGCCUGGUAGUGGAGGAUAACGUCCGGAAACGGGCGCUAAUACCGCAUACGUCCUGAGGGAGAAAGUGGGGGAUCUUCGGACCUCACGCUAUCAGAUGAGCCUAGGUCGGAUUAGCUAGUUGGUGGGGUAAAGGCCUACCAAGGCGACGAUCCGUAACUGGUCUGAGAGGAUGAUCAGUCACACUGGAACUGAGACACGGUCCAGACUCCUACGGGAGGCAGCAGUGGGGAAUAUUGGACAAUGGGCGAAAGCCUGAUCCAGCCAUGCCGCGUGUGUGAAGAAGGUCUUCGGAUUGUAAAGCACUUUAAGUUGGGAGGAAGGGCAGUAAGUUAAUACCUUGCUGUUUUGACGUUACCAACAGAAUAAGCACCGGCUAACUUCGUG